ACACAUGCAAGUCGAGCGGAUGAAGGGAGCUUGCUCCUGGAUUCAGCGGCGGACGGGUGAGUAAUGCCUAGGAAUCUGCCUGGUAGUGGGGGAUAACGUCCGGAAACGGGCGCUAAUACCGCAUACGUCCUGAGGGAGAAAGUGGGGGAUCUUCGGACCUCACGCUAUCAGAUGAGCCUAGGUCGGAUUAGCUAGUUGGUGGGGUAAAGGCCUACCAAGGCGACGAUCCGUAACUGGUCUGAGAGGAUGAUCAGUCACACUGGAACUGAGACACGGUCCAGACUCCUACGGGAGGCAGCAGUGGGGAAUAUUGGACAAUGGGCGAAAGCCUGAUCCAGCCAUGCCGCGUGUGUGAAGAAGGUCUUCGGAUUGUAAAGCACUUUAAGUUGGGAGGAAGGGCAGUAAGUUAAUACCUUGCUGUUUUGACGUUACCAACAGAAUAAGCACCGGCUAACUUCGUGCCAGCAGCCGCGGUAAUACGAAGGGUGCAAGCGUUAAUCGGAAUUACUGGGCGUAAAGCGCGCGUAGGUGGUUCAGCAAGUUGGAUGUGAAAUCCCCGGGCUCAACCUGGGAACUGCAUCCAAAACUACUGAGCUAGAGUACGGUAGAGGGUGGUGGAAUUUCCUGUGUAGCGGUGAAAUGCGUAGAUAUAGGAAGGAACACCAGUGGCGAAGCGACACCUGGACUGAUACUGACACUGAGUGCGAAAGCGUGGGAGCAAACAGGAUUAGAUACGUGGUAGUCACGCCGUAAACGAUGUCGACUAGCCGUUGGGAUCCUUGAGAUCUUAGUGGCGCAGCUAACGCGAUAAGUCGACCGCCUGGGGAGUACGGCCGCAAGGUUAAAACUCA
Molecule: ribosomal RNA, 851 nt
Filed under: Pseudomonas aeruginosa
Lineage: Bacteria; Pseudomonadati; Pseudomonadota; Gammaproteobacteria; Pseudomonadales; Pseudomonadaceae
Description: bacterial SSU rRNA
Rfam family: Bacterial small subunit ribosomal RNA
Source: RNAcentral